CACGUAGGGGCCAAGCGUUGUCCGGAUUUAUUGGGCGUAAAGAGCUCGUAGGCGGCUCGGUAAGUCAGGUGUGAAACCUCCAGGCUCAACCUGGAGACGCCACCUGAUACUGCUGUGGCUAGAGUCCGGUAGGGGAGCGUGGAAUUCCUGGUGUAGCGGUGAAAUGCGCAGAUAUCAGGAGGAACACCGGUGGCGAAGGCGGGUCUCUGGGCCGAUACUGACGCUGAGGAGCGAAAGCGUGGGGAGCGAACAGG
Molecule: ribosomal RNA, 254 nt
Filed under: uncultured bacterium
Lineage: Bacteria
Description: partial 16S ribosomal RNA
Rfam family: Bacterial small subunit ribosomal RNA
Source: RNAcentral